GAGUAAAGCCUAGGAAUCUGCCUGGUAGUGGGGGAUAACGCUCGGAAACGGACGCUAAUACCGCAUACGUCCUACGGGAGAAAGCAGGGGACCUUCGGGCCUUGCGCUAUCAGAUGAGCCUAGGUCGGAUUAGCUAGUUGGUGAGGUAAUGGCUCACCAAGGCGACGAUCCGUAACUGGUCUGAGAGGAUGAUCAGUCACACUGGAACUGAGACACGGUCCAGACUCCUACGGGAGGCAGCAGUGGGGAAUAUUGGACAAUGGGCGAAAGCCUGAUCCAGCCAUGCCGCGUGUGUGAAGAAGGUCUUCGGAUUGUAAAGCACUUUAAGUUGGGAGGAAGGGCAUUAACCUAAUACGUUAGUGUUUUGACGUUACCGACAGAAUAAGCACCGGCUAACUCUGUGCCAGCAGCCGCGGUAAUACAGAGGGUGCAAGCGUUAAUCGGAAUUACUGGGCGUAAAGCGCGCGUAGGUGGUUCGUUAAGUUGGAUGUGAAAUCCCC
Molecule: ribosomal RNA, 500 nt
Filed under: Pseudomonas sp. WR0123
Lineage: Bacteria; Pseudomonadati; Pseudomonadota; Gammaproteobacteria; Pseudomonadales; Pseudomonadaceae
Description: bacterial SSU rRNA
Rfam family: Bacterial small subunit ribosomal RNA
Source: RNAcentral